Molecule: ribosomal RNA, 497 nt
Filed under: uncultured bacterium
Lineage: Bacteria
Description: partial 16S ribosomal RNA
Rfam family: Bacterial small subunit ribosomal RNA
Source: RNAcentral
GAUGAACGCUGGCGGCGUGCCUAAUACAUGCAAGUCGAGCGAACGGACGAGAAGCUUUCUUCUCUGAUGUUAGCGGCGGACGGGUGAGUAACACGUGGAUAACCUACCUAUAAGACUGGGAUAACUUCGGGAAACCGGAGCUAAUACCGGAUAAUAUUUUGAACCGCAUGGUUCAAAAGUGAAAGACGGUCUUGCUGUCACUUAUAGAUGGAUCCGCGCUGCAUUAGCUAGUUGGUAAGGUAACGGCUUACCAAGGCAACGAUGCAUAGCCGACCUGAGAGGGUGAUCGGCCACACUGGGACUGAGACACGGUCCAGACUCCUACGGGAGGCAGCAGUAGGGAAUCUUCCGCAAUGGGCGAAAGCCUGACGGAGCAACGCCGCGUGAGUGAUGAAGGUCUUCGGAUCGUAAAACUCUGUUAUUAGGGAAGAACAUAUGUGUAAGUAACUGUGCACAUCUUGACGGUACCUAAUCAGAAAGCCACGGCUAACUACGUG